RNAcentral lists this ribosomal RNA (253 nucleotides) under uncultured bacterium. RNAcentral describes it as "partial 16S ribosomal RNA". It matches the Rfam family "Bacterial small subunit ribosomal RNA", at positions 524 to 776 of the family's 1533-position model. The record is from RNAcentral.
UACGUAGGGGGCAAGCGUUGUCCGGAUUUAUUGGGCGUAAAGCGCGUGUAGGCGGCCAGGUAGGUCCGCUGUGAAAACCCGAGGCUCAACCUCGGGACGGCGGCGGAAACCAUCUGGCUAGAGUCCGGAAGGGGAGAGUGGAAUUCCCGGUGUAGCGGUGAAAUGCGCAGAUAUCGGGAAGAACACCCGUGGCGAAGGCGGCUCUCUGGGAAGGUCCUGACGCUGAGACGCGAAAGCGUGGGGAGCGAACAGG